UUUUCAGUGGACAUUGGCGCUGACCGUAUUGUAUGUGGAGGAGAGGAGGGUGUUGUUAGGAUCUGGAACUUUACACAAGCUUUGGAAAUUGAGCAGAGGGCUCGAGCUCUAAGAGGAAUACGAUUGGAGAAUCGGAUAAGGAGGCGCAAGCUCCAAAUAGAGAUGAACAAAGGUGCACGAACUGACCAGUGUUCUAUGGCAGCCAAGAACUCUAUGCAUGGAGAUAGGAGUAAUGUCUGGCACAGCAAACGUGGAAUAAGUAGCAAGGUGAAGGCUUAGCAACAAAUAGCAAUUACUAAAUUCUUCUAGGUGCAAUGACUCUCUACCAUGUGGAUAAUUAAGUAACAGAUUUAUACAAUUAUGGUUUAAGCAUGCCAAGUUACUGAUUGUAGUUGGUUUUUUCUUUUCCAAUAGCAUUUGGCUUUUAAAGAUAAGUUUCAUUUUAUGGUGGUUUGAAGAUGUGCUUGUUAGAAUGGUUUAUAUCUUAU
This 488-nucleotide unclassified non-coding RNA is filed under the name Hevea brasiliensis (rubber tree). Lineage: Eukaryota; Viridiplantae; Streptophyta; Magnoliopsida; Malpighiales; Euphorbiaceae. The record is from RNAcentral.